Molecule: ribosomal RNA, 197 nt
Filed under: uncultured bacterium
Lineage: Bacteria
Description: partial 16S ribosomal RNA
Rfam family: Bacterial small subunit ribosomal RNA
Source: RNAcentral
GGCUGAAAUUCGCCUUCAUGAAGCCGGAAUUGCUAGUAAUGGCAGGUCAGCAUACUGCCGUGAAUACGUUCCCGGGCCUUGUACACACCGCCCGUCACACCAUGAGAGUUGGGAAUACCCGAAGCCUGUGAGCUAACGUUAAGAGGCAGCAGUCGAAGGUAGAAUCAAUGAUUGGGGUGAAGUCGUAACAAGGUACC